UCAUCCGCGUCAUUAUAAUUUCUCUAAUAUUCAUCAUGUCGUAAGGGAAAAUGAUGAUAUUACCUUACUAUGAGUGUCGUCCAAAGCUGGUGCCAGAAGACUCGGUAAGACCAGAGACGCAAACGUUAGUCAUCCUAAACAGGCGUAAAGGGUUUGUAGGCAGCUUUCAUAAUUUUUUAAUUUAUAAAUAUUGAAAGCUAGAAUCAAAAAGAGGUUAUAGUGUAUAACGCCUAGAGGAGGGCUGAUAUCCUUAGAUCCUAGGCAGAAUACUUAUGGCGAAGGCCACUCUCCACUAAUGAUUGACGCUGAGAAACGAAGGUUAGGAUAGGAAAUAGGAUU
RNAcentral lists this ribosomal RNA (339 nucleotides) under Amauroderma schomburgkii. Its description in RNAcentral is "partial small subunit ribosomal RNA". It matches the Rfam family "Bacterial small subunit ribosomal RNA", at positions 393 to 779 of the family's 1533-position model. The record is from RNAcentral. Lineage: Eukaryota; Fungi; Basidiomycota; Agaricomycetes; Polyporales; Polyporaceae.